UCGGAAUCAACCAUUUGAUAGAACAUUAAGUAUUCCGUCAUUUCGUCUGCCCUACGCUUGGCUUGAUUUUUGAGCAUUAGUUUUAGAAGUUAUUUUUUCAUUUUCGAUCGCUCGGUUUAUCCAUUAAUAAUACGAGAAUGGACAGAAGUUUGGACGAGCUUAUUAAAGAAAACCCGAAAAAAUUCAGCCUCAACAAAGGGAGGUAUCAGCCAAAGACAAACAAAAAUUCUGGAAACGCUAGUGGAGUGAAAAGAGGUGGAAUUCGCAAUAAUAAAAAAAAUAACAAUAAUUCACUGCCAGGUGUGGCCAAAAAUGGAGGAGGUCGUGUGACCAAGCAAGGCGGGAGACAGAAUGGUGCAAAACCCGUUUUUAAGGGAAAUUCUAACAAACAGAAUGUAAAGCCAACAACCAAGAAAGGUGGUCUUAUUGUUGUUGAUGCCAGAAAUAAGCUUUUGGCCAAAAAUAGGCUGAAAAUUACGGAUGCAAGAGACCGCAUUGCUGCAAUGGCAAAGAAAACUGACCUCCGCCAGAAACUUGCUUCUAAGAAACCAGAGCUUUCAAGAAAACCAGCAGCAUUGCACACAAGGCCAAACCAAGGAAUUAAAAAGUUAAUACGAGAGGUAGGAAGAUCCCACAAUCUCACUAGAACAACUAUUGGCAGAACAGUGGAAAAUGAGCUAGCCAGAUUGAAUGUUGGACCAGUCCCUCCUCAUUACAUCCCACCAAGAUAUGAGUUACUUCCUCCACCUAACUUUUAUGCUUAUCAUCAACCAGCAGCACCCAGUUAUGACCUUCACACCAUGAGUACUGCAGCAAUGGACUGUGAGCCCCCUUUGUCAGCAACCAAGCGCAUCCUAGCGACAGAAAAGCGUCUCGGACCGAGAGGUGAGGUCAAGUCGAAACCUGAGAGUGGACACAGAGUUUACGUCAGCAAUCUGCAUCCCAAAGUGACACAAGAAGACAUCGUCGAACUCUUUGGUGACGUAGGCUCCUUAGUAAGAGCGUCACUUCAACGACCCGGCGUUGCAGAAGUUGUCUAUGUUCGUCGUGAUGAUGCCUUGAGAGCCGUCGAUGUCUACCAUAAUCGACAACUGGAUGGACUCCCGAUGCACUGUAGCAUGGGAGCCAUUUUUGAACCCAGACGAGAAGCAGCUCCUGCGGCGAUGAAACCAAGGGCUCCUUUAAGCUCGGGCAAGGCUCAUAUCGCUCCAGAUAUUGGAACUAUUCACAAGGCCCUGUUUAACAAGGCAACUUCUCGCAACUCACAGAUUUUCACUGUCACUCUACCCAAGAAAGACACGUGAAUUUGUUGAUUGAAGGUAAACAAGGUUCUGGUUGACCCACUACCAACUGGUUCGUGUUUUUUUUGUUUUUUUUUGUCGUGACAGUUUUCUUUUUUUUUUUCGCACCUUGUCCAUUUCUUUUGUGCUGGACGAAGUUACUCUGAAAGAACUCCCCAAGUCAGGACUGAAUUCCACGCUUCCAUUGUCUUCGGCCGUUAUUCCCACAGGAUAGAUACUGUCCAUUAGACUGUGAUCAACUGUCGGUCUACCGUUAUCGGAUUUUGCGCCAAUCAUGUCGUCGAACCGAUAGCCCCAUAAAAUCUCG
This is an RNA transcript of Daphnia carinata, 1608 nucleotides long. It is a transcript of the gene named polymerase delta-interacting protein 3-like, with no coding region annotated. Lineage: Eukaryota; Metazoa; Arthropoda; Branchiopoda; Diplostraca; Daphniidae. The transcript is spliced from 6 exons. The record is from RefSeq and is a predicted model, not a curated record.